AACGCGUGUCUUGUACGAAUUUUCCGGAUCGCCUUCCCCGUUUUAUCUAUUGGCCCGGAUCCGCCACCCUGCAUACCAAACAACACCAGGACCGGACGGGCAGUAAACGCCGACAAACGUCGCCAUUAGAUUUUAUAUUAUAAAGAAUCUGUCACCGCCGCUUUCUAGCGGUGGAUUGGGAUAAUCAUGAUAUCGGGAAUGUAGACAUUAUUAAAUAUGACCUCUCACCAGCCACCAUCGCUGCUGGAGAGCCCCGGUGGUUAAGGAGGAACACGUAAAUACGGGGGGG
Cinara cedri is the source of this 289-nucleotide non-coding RNA. The record is from the annotation of a GenBank genome assembly. NCBI's taxonomy places the organism in Eukaryota, Metazoa, Arthropoda, Insecta, Hemiptera, Aphididae.